CCUUARAGUUUGAUCCUGGCUCAKAACRAAYGCUGGCGGCKUGCUUAACACAUGCAAGUCGAACGUGAUUGARAGCUUGSUCUCAUGAAAGUGGCGCACGGGUGAGUAACACGUGGAUAAUCUGCCUGGCGAUUCGGGAUAACACUUCSAAAGGGGUGCUAAUACCGGAUAASCCCACGGUCUCUUCGGAGAGUGCGGGAAAAGGGGGCCUCUGUAUAUGCUCCUGUCGCUAGAUGAGUCCGCGGCCCAUUARCUAGUUGGUAGGGUAAUGGCCUACCAAGGCUACKAWGGGUAGCUGGUCUGASAGGAUGAUCARCCMCMCUGGAACUGASACACGGUCCAGACUCCUACGGRAGGCAGCAGUGGGGAAUUUUGCGCAAUGGGCSAAAGCCUGACGCAK
Molecule: ribosomal RNA, 400 nt
Filed under: uncultured Geobacteraceae bacterium
Lineage: Bacteria; Pseudomonadati; Thermodesulfobacteriota; Desulfuromonadia; Geobacterales; Geobacteraceae
Description: partial 16S ribosomal RNA
Rfam family: Bacterial small subunit ribosomal RNA
Source: RNAcentral